UACCAGACUCCUACGGGAGGCAGCAGUGAGGAAUAUUGGUCAAUGGGCGCGAGCCUGAACCAGCCAAGUCGCGUGAGGGAUGACGGCCCUACGGGUUGUAAACCUCUUUUGUCGGGGAGCAAAUUCCGCCACGUGUGGCGGAGUCGAGAGUACCCGAAGAAAAAGCAUCGGCUAACUCCGUGCCAGCAGCCGCGGUAAUACGGAGGAUGCGAGCGUUAUCCGGAUUUAUUGGGUUUAAAGGGUGCGCAGGCGGAAUGUCAAGUCAGCGGUAAAAUUUCGGGGCUCAACCCCGUCGUGCCGUUGAAACUGGCAGUCUCGAGUUGGAGAGAAGUAUGCGGAAUGCGCGGUGUAGCGGUGAAAUGCAUAGAUAUCGCGCAGAACUCCGAUUGCGAAGGCAGCAUGCCGGCUCCACACUGACGCUGAGGCACGAAAGCGUGGGUAUCGAACAGGAUUAGAUACCCUAGUA
Molecule: ribosomal RNA, 466 nt
Filed under: uncultured bacterium
Lineage: Bacteria
Description: bacterial SSU rRNA
Rfam family: Bacterial small subunit ribosomal RNA
Source: RNAcentral